UACGUAUGGUGCAAGCGUUAUCUGGAUUUACUGGGUGUAAAGGGAGCGUAGGCGGCGCGUUAAGUCUGAUGUGAAAACCCGAGGCUCAACCACGGGAGUGCAUUGGAAACUGGCGGGCUGGAGUGCCGGAGAGGUAAGCGGAAUUCCUAGUGUAGCGGUGAAAUGCGUAGAUAUUAGGAGGAACACCAGUGGCGAAGGCGGCUUACUGGACGGCAACUGACGCUGAGGCUCGAAAGCGUGGGGAGCAAACAGG
This 253-nucleotide ribosomal RNA is filed under the name uncultured bacterium. RNAcentral's name for it is "partial 16S ribosomal RNA". It matches the Rfam family "Bacterial small subunit ribosomal RNA", at positions 524 to 776 of the family's 1533-position model. The record is from RNAcentral.